This 254-nucleotide ribosomal RNA is filed under the name uncultured bacterium. RNAcentral describes it as "partial 16S ribosomal RNA". It matches the Rfam family "Bacterial small subunit ribosomal RNA", at positions 524 to 776 of the family's 1533-position model. The record is from RNAcentral.
UACGGGGGGAGCAAGCGUUGUUCGGAUUUACUGGGCGUAAAGGGCGCGUAGGCGGCCACUGCAAGUCGGUUGUGAAAUCUCCGGGCUUAACCCGGAAAGGUCAAUCGAUACUGCAGGGCUAGGGUGCAGAAGGGGCAACUGGAAUUCUCGGUGUAGCGGUGAAAUGCGUAGAUAUCGAGAGGAACACCUGCGGCGAAGGCGGGUUGCUGGGCUGACACUGACGCUGAAGCGCGAAAGCUAGGGGAGCGAACGGG